RNAcentral lists this ribosomal RNA (587 nucleotides) under uncultured bacterium. RNAcentral's name for it is "partial 16S ribosomal RNA". It matches the Rfam family "Bacterial small subunit ribosomal RNA", at positions 355 to 937 of the family's 1533-position model. The record is from RNAcentral.
UGGGGAAUCUUCCGCAAUGGACGAAAGUCUGACGGAGCAACGCCGCGUGAGUGAAGAAGGUUUUCGGAUCGUAAAACUCUGUCUUUUGGGGCGAACGUGAGUAUGGUGAACAAUCAUAGUCAGUGACGGUACCAAAGGAGGAAGCCACGGCUAACUACGUGCCAGCAGCCGCGGUAAUACGUAGGUGGCAAGCGUUGUCCGGAAUUAUUGGGCGUAAAGAGCGCGUAGGCGGGAUAGUCAGUCUGUUGUAAAGUGCGGGGCUCAACCCCGUGAUGGCAAUGGAAACAGCUAUUCUUGAGUGCAGGAGAGGAAAGUGGAAUUCCCAGUGUAGCGGUGAAAUGCGUAGAUAUUGGGAGGAACACCAGUGGCGAAGGCGACUUUCUGGACUGUGUCUGACGCUGAGGCGCGAAAGCCAGGGGAGCGAACGGGAUUAGAUACCCCGGUAGUCCUGGCCGUAAACGAUGGGUACUAGGUGUGGGAGGUAUCGACCCCUUUCCGUGCCGGAGUUAACGCAAUAAGUACCCCGCCUGGGGAGUACGGUCGCAAGACUGAAACUCAAAUGAAUUGACGAGGUCAUAGCUGUUUCC